AUGCUGGUUUUUUUAAGUGAUAGUUCUUAUAUAAUUAUGAGUGUUUUUUUAAAAAAUAAAUGUGUAGAAUAUAAACUGGAGUUAGUAAAACAAAAUAAGUUGAACAUAUAUAAACAACUAUUUAAUGCAUGUAAUAAAGAGAAGGUGUUUUAUGAAAAAAAAAGUAAAGAGAAUGAAAAAAAGAUUGAAGCACUUGAUAAAGCGGUAAUGUUAUUAGAAUUAGAUAAUGAAAAUUAUAUAGAAGCAAAUAAUGAAUUAAAAAAAAUUAUCGAAUCGAAUAAAGAAAUAAUUGAUAUAAUUGAAGUUGUUAUCGAAAAAAAAAAUAAUAAAAUUGAAAAGUUACAAAAAGAAAAUAAAAAAAUACAUGAAGCAGAAGAAGUUAUUGAAAAAAAAAAAAAAGAAAAUGAACAUUUAUCAAAAAAUAUAUAUAAAUUAAAUAUCAAGUUUAAUGAAUAUGUAUCAAAAUUAAAAUGUUCUAACAAAACAACUAAUAACUUAAAUAGUAAAAUUAAUAAUUUAUUAUUGCAAUUACAAAAGGAACAAGCAAAAAAUGAUAAACUAUUAUUAUAUUUAUCACAUUUGAUGAAGUAUAGAAAUAAUGAUGAUACUUUUAUGGAUAAUACGGAUUUUUUUAAAAUAAUGAAAUAUAAACAUUUGGAAGAUUGGUCUGAUUGUUCAAAUUUGUCAGAUUGGUCAAAUGUAUCAAACUGGAUGAACCAAACUAUGUCGGGGCAACAUUCUCAUAAUAUGUUAUUACCGGAGCUAAAGGAUAAUUUGAAGUAUGUAACAAACAAGGAAACAGGUUUUAAUUAUAUGCUAAAAGAUAAUUAUACAGAAAAUAAAAAAAUAAAAAAAAGAACAAGUAAAGAGCAUAUGUUAGAAGAUAUAUUUAGUUUAAACAGCGAUAUGGAAGAAGAAAGUAAUUAUAAUUUGGGUAGUUAUACUAACAAUGAUAAUUAUAACAAUAACAGUAAAAACAAAUCAUUUCAAAAAGAAGGUAUUAAAUGUUUAAAAGAUGUAAUGGGUGAAAAUGAAGAUACGUUACCAAUACAAUUGUUUAAUAGUAGCGAUGAAAAAAGAGAACAUGAUGAUGAAUGUAAAUAUAAUAAAAAGGAACAUAAGCUUAAAAAUAUAGAGUGUGAACACAUUAAUAUGAAACACGAAAAUAAUGAUGGAGAGAACGAAGGUACUGAUAAUGAUUUAUUAAUUGAUGAUGCUUUAUUAGAUGAGUAUAAAAGAUAUAAGUCACAAAUUGGUUCGAAUAACAUAUUAGAAACAGAAAGUGACAGUGAUAUUUUAAAAAAAAAGAAAAUAACAAAAAAUUAUAAUACUAGUGGUAGCAAAUUGUUUGAUAAUGAUACUGUUUACUUUAAUUGGAGUAGUGAUAACAAAAGAAGCAACAGUGAUAGUUGUGAUUUUAAUUUGGAAAUGGAUAGUAUAAAUGCAAAACAAAAAAAUAAGCUUGAAAAAAAGGAAAUUUUGUUAAAAAAAGAUAAUAAAUCACUUAAAAGUAAAAAUAAGAUUAGCAAAAAGUGUAAUGAAAAUAAGGUUCAUGUUAAUAAUGUAAAAUGCAAAAACAGUGAAAGGGGACGUGUUUUGUUAUUUGAUGAACACGUAUAUAAGCAAAUGGGUAAAGAAGAGGGUAAGCAAAAUAAAGAAAUAAAUGGAUUAAAACAUUAUAAAAUAAAAAACGAAAUUGAUUAUGAUAAAUAUAUAAUUAAUUGCAACACUACAAUGAAUAAUGGGAUAGAUAAAAUAAAUAAAAACCAUUUUAAAAUUAAAAAAGGGUAUUGUGAAAAUAAUAAAACGAAUAGUGAUAAUUACUUAAAUGUUAGUAAGAACAAUUUUAAUAAACAGCUGAACAAAAAAAACAACAAAAAUUCGUCUUUAUGGACAAAUACAACUGUAGAAAACGAUAAAGAUAUAAGUGAAAAAAAAAAAACAAAAAUAUAUUAA
Piliocolobus tephrosceles (Ugandan red Colobus) is the source of this 1956-nucleotide long non-coding RNA. Lineage: Eukaryota; Metazoa; Chordata; Mammalia; Primates; Cercopithecidae. The record is from Ensembl.